This 506-nucleotide ribosomal RNA is filed under the name uncultured bacterium. RNAcentral's name for it is "partial 16S ribosomal RNA". It matches the Rfam family "Bacterial small subunit ribosomal RNA", at positions 29 to 523 of the family's 1533-position model. The record is from RNAcentral.
AGUGAACGCUGGCGGUAGGCCUAACACAUGCAAGUCGAACGGCAGCACAGGAGAGCUUGCUCUCUGGGUGGCGAGUGGCGGACGGGGGAGGAAUACAUCGGAAUCUACCCUUUCGUGGGGGAUAACGUAGGGAAACUUACGCUAAUACCGCAUACGACCUACGGGUGAAAGCAGGGGAUCUUCGGACCUUGCGCGAAAGAAUGAGCCGAUGUCGGAUUAGCUAGUUGGUGGGGUAAUGGCCCACGAAGGCGACGAUCCGUAGCUGGUAUGAGAGGAUGAUCAGCCACACUGGAACUGAGACACGGUCCAGACUCCUACGGGAGGCAGCAGUGGGGAAUAUUGGACAAUGGGCGCAAGCCUGAUCCAGCCAUACCGCGUGGGUGAAGAAGGCCUUCGGGUUGUAAAGCCCUUUUGUUGGGAAAGAAAUCCAGCUGGCUAAUACCCGGUUGGGAUGACGGUACCCAAAGAAUAAGCACCGGCUAACUUCGUGCCAGCAGCCGCGGUAA